Molecule: unclassified non-coding RNA, 1088 nt
Filed under: Leishmania donovani
Lineage: Eukaryota; Euglenozoa; Kinetoplastea; Trypanosomatida; Trypanosomatidae
Description: gene:LdHU3.29.4310(CDS-product:hypothetical_prote in_conserved)
Source: RNAcentral
CACUAGAUCUACUGCAGAGGGCGUGAACGCGCCAAUCUACGUGCACUAUUCAUGUCCAACUCCAAUGCCAGCAUUGGUAUGGUGAAGGAUGUUAUAGGGCGGUCUUGCCCGUGGUGGCUUUCUCGCCUUCUUGCAGAAACAAGGGGUACAGAGAGCACCCCUAAGCUGCUGACCACGUCAGCCCAGAGGCUUCAGGUAGGCGGCCAACUCUCUGGGAGUUGCGAUAACCCGGCUCUAUUUCCCUUUCGCCAUACUCUGCACUUAAAUGCCUCUACGCCGAUCGCGGAGGCUCAGGUGAUCAUGACGCAUGGGAGGCGACUAAGGAUGGUUUCUCGAAACUAUGGCGAUGUGAAGUGGCACGUCGACCUCUCCGACUUUCUCUCGUGUAGCGGGACAUGUCUGACCGAGGUUGAAGAAGAAGUGGAGCGACUGACUCAACUUACGCGGAGGAACUCGUACACCUCUCCAUUCUGGGUAACGCAACUGCAGUUAGAAAGCCACUUUCGGAACGCUCUUGCUGGGUUCUCUACGGGCUGCCCGCCUACGAACUUGGCGCAUGUCUGCGAAGUGUAUGAAAACCCGAACAUGUUUGUAGAGCUCAGUUGCGGGGCGGCGACGACGGCGCGUUACGCCAACCUGGGCGAGUUUCGAAUGCAACCACAUCUCGGGCUCUCCUUGAAAUCGUGCAUAUCGUUUUUACGCGUAUUUUCGCCCAUUAACGUGCAAACUCGACGUGCCUUCGACGCGUGUGUGGAGUCGCGCCUGCGAUUGGAGUGCCAGCAAAGCGGGUGCUGGUGCAGUGUAUGGGGUACCGCGCAGGACUACGCGAGCUGCGGGUUUGCUCCCCUUGACGGCGCCAUUGGUGUCGACGUGUUCGACGCCCUUGGGAAUCCUCUCUUUCUCAUCCACGCCCUAUGCACGACUGCGCCACUGGACGUUUUCUCCAGGUGCUACCCCAACGAUAGUAUUUUCAUCAGCGACGACACCCGUUGAUCCUUUUUUGUUGUGUUUGUGCUCUUCUUCCUGCUUCAUUCUGUUCCGCUCUGGUGCUCUGCAACUACGCUCUGCCGUGUUUCAGAAAAAACAAC